This 395-nucleotide unclassified non-coding RNA is filed under the name soil metagenome. Its description in RNAcentral is "partial contains 5.8S ribosomal RNA, internal transcribed spacer 2, and large subunit ribosomal RNA". The stretch from base 1 to 120 matches the Rfam family "5.8S ribosomal RNA", at positions 35 to 154 of the family's 154-position model. The record is from RNAcentral.
GAUGAAGAACGCAGCGAAAUGCGAUUAGUAAUGUGAAUUGCAGAAUUCAGUGAAUCAUCGAAUCUUUGAACGCAUCUUGCGCUCCUUGGUAUUCCGAGGAGCAUGCCUGUUUGAGUGUCAUUUUAACUUCUCAACCAUAUCGAAUUGUUUUUCGAGGUGGCUUGGACAUGGGGGUUUUUGCAGGCUUUAAUAAUGAAGUCGGCUCCUCUGAAAUGCAUUAGUGGUAUCUGAAGCAGAACUGCUACUAUUAGGUGUGAUAAUUAUCUAUGCCUCUUGGUAUACUGCAUGAACAGAUUGCGCUGCUUCCAACUUGUACACCCUUUGGUGUUUGACAAAUUUGACCUCAAAUCAGGUAGGACUACCCGCUGAACUUAAGCAUAUCAAUAAGCGGAGGA